This 254-nucleotide ribosomal RNA is filed under the name uncultured bacterium. RNAcentral's name for it is "partial 16S ribosomal RNA". It matches the Rfam family "Bacterial small subunit ribosomal RNA", at positions 524 to 776 of the family's 1533-position model. The record is from RNAcentral.
UACGGGGGGAGCAAGCGUUGUUCGGAUUUACUGGGCGUAAAGGGCGCGUAGGCGGUCAGCACAAGUCAGUUGUGAAAUCUCCGGGCUUAACUCGGAAAGGUCAACUGAUACUGUGCGACUAGAGUGCAGAAGGGGCAACUGGAAUUCUCGGUGUAGCGGUGAAAUGCGUAGAUAUCGUAAGGAAGACCAGUGGCGAAGGCGGGUCUCUGGACAGUUCCUGACGCUGAGGCACGAAGGUCAGGGGAGCAAACGGG